AAGUCGUAACAAGGUUUCCGUAGGUGAGUUUGGGCGUUUUCUCUCUCCUCUCACACUUAAGUACCUAAAAACAACCAACUAACAUUCUAUCUUCUAGGUGAACCUGCGGAAGGAUCAUUAAAGAGUAAGAGCCACUCGGGCUCGACCUCCAACCCUCUGUGUACCUACCUCAGUUGCUUUGGCGGGCCGCUGGGCCAAAAAGCCCCACCACUUGCCCAGGCCGGUGAGCGCCCGUCAGAGACCCUUCAAACCUUACCUCCCCUUGACGUCUGAGUAUCAUACAAUCGUUAAAA
RNAcentral lists this unclassified non-coding RNA (293 nucleotides) under plant metagenome. RNAcentral's name for it is "partial contains small subunit ribosomal RNA and internal transcribed spacer 1". The record is from RNAcentral.